RNAcentral lists this ribosomal RNA (758 nucleotides) under Enterococcus sp. Its description in RNAcentral is "bacterial SSU rRNA". It matches the Rfam family "Bacterial small subunit ribosomal RNA", at positions 56 to 786 of the family's 1533-position model. Lineage: Bacteria; Bacillati; Bacillota; Bacilli; Lactobacillales; Enterococcaceae. The record is from RNAcentral.
UGCAAGUCGAACGCUUUUUCUUUCACCGGAGCUUGCUCCACCGAAAGAAAAAGAGUGGCGAACGGGUGAGUAACACGUGGGUAACCUGCCCAUCAGAAGGGGAUAACACUUGGAAACAGGUGCUAAUACCGUAUAACACUAUUUUCCGCAUGGAAGAAAGUUGAAAGGCGCUUUUGCGUCACUGAUGGAUGGACCCGCGGUGCAUUAGCUAGUUGGUGAGGUAACGGCUCACCAAGGCAACGAUGCAUAGCCGACCUGAGAGGGUGAUCGGCCACACUGGGACUGAGACACGGCCCAGACUCCUACGGGAGGCAGCAGUAGGGAAUCUUCGGCAAUGGACGAAAGUCUGACCGAGCAACGCCGCGUGAGUGAAGAAGGUUUUCGGAUCGUAAAACUCUGUUGUUAGAGAAGAACAAGGAUGAGAGUAAAACGUUCAUCCCUUGACGGUAUCUAACCAGAAAGCCACGGCUAACUACGUGCCAGCAGCCGCGGUAAUACGUAGGUGGCAAGCGUUGUCCGGAUUUAUUGGGCGUAAAGCGAGCGCAGGCGGUUUCUUAAGUCUGAUGUGAAAGCCCCCGGCUCAACCGGGGAGGGUCAUUGGAAACUGGGAGACUUGAGUGCAGAAGAGGAGAGUGGAAUUCCAUGUGUAGCGGUGAAAUGCGUAGAUAUAUGGAGGAACACCAGUGGCGAAGGCGGCUCUCUGGUCUGUAACUGACGCUGAGGCUCGAAAGCGUGGGGAGCGAACAGGAUUAGAUACC